GACGAACGCUGGCGGCGUGCCUAAUACAUGCAAGUCGAGCGAAGUUUUUCUGGUGCUUGCACUAGAAAAACUUAGCGGCGAACGGGUGAGUAACACGUAAAGAACCUGCCUCAUAGACCGGGACAACUAUUGGAAACGAUAGCUAAUACCGGAUAACAGCAUUAACUGCAUGGUUGAUGUUUGAAAGUUGGUUUUGCUAACACUAUGAGAUGGCUUUGCGGUGCAUUAGCUAGUUGGUGGGGUAAAGGCCUACCAAGGCGACGAUGCAUAGCCGACCUGAGAGGGUGAUCGGCCACACUGGGACUGAGACACGGCCCAGACUCCUACGGGAGGCAGCAGUAGGGAAUCUUCCGCAAUGGGCGAAAGCCUGACGGAGCAACGCCGCGUGAGUGAAGAAGGAUUUCGGUUCGUAAAGCUCUGUUGUUAGGGAAGAAUGAUUGUGUAGUAACUAUACACAGUAGAGACG
This 466-nucleotide ribosomal RNA is filed under the name Gemella haemolysans. RNAcentral describes it as "bacterial SSU rRNA". It matches the Rfam family "Bacterial small subunit ribosomal RNA", at positions 28 to 474 of the family's 1533-position model. Lineage: Bacteria; Bacillati; Bacillota; Bacilli; Caryophanales; Gemellaceae. The record is from RNAcentral.